Molecule: transfer RNA, 67 nt
Filed under: Pseudorimula sp. RSIO35641
Lineage: Eukaryota; Metazoa; Mollusca; Gastropoda; Lepetellida; Lepetodrilidae
Description: tRNA-Asp
Source: RNAcentral
AAGAAGCUAGUUAAAUAAUAAUACAGGUUUGUCAAAUCUGAGUUACUGUUGUUAGCAGUGUUUCUUA